RNAcentral lists this ribosomal RNA (504 nucleotides) under uncultured bacterium. RNAcentral describes it as "partial 16S ribosomal RNA". It matches the Rfam family "Bacterial small subunit ribosomal RNA", at positions 28 to 523 of the family's 1533-position model. The record is from RNAcentral.
GAUAAACGCUAGCGGCAGGCUUAACACAUGCAAGUCGAGGGGCAGCAUAGAUUGUAGCAAUACAAUUGGUGGCGACCGGCGCACGGGUGCGUAACGCGUAUGCAACCUACCCGUCACAGGGGGAUAAUCCGGAGAAAUCUGGUCUAAUACCCCAUAACAUAUGGAUCGGCAUCGGUUCAUGUUGAAAUUUUCGGAGGUGACGGAUGGGCAUGCGUAGCAUUAGCUUGUUGAUGAGGUAACGGCUCACCAAGGCGACGAUGCUUAGGGGGACUGAGAGGUUUUCCCCCCACACUGGUACUGAGACACGGACCAGACUCCUACGGGAGGCAGCAGUGAGGAAUAUUGGUCAAUGGGCGCAAGCCUGAACCAGCCAUGCCGCGUGCAGGAUGACGGCUCUAUGAGUUGUAAACCGCUUUUGUACGAGGGUAAAGUGGGUUACGUGUAACCUUUUGAAAGUAUCGUACGAAUAAGGAUCGGCUAACUCCGUGCCAGCCGCCGCAGUAA